RNAcentral lists this transfer RNA (58 nucleotides) under Pectinatella magnifica. RNAcentral describes it as "tRNA-Leu". Lineage: Eukaryota; Metazoa; Bryozoa; Phylactolaemata; Pectinatellidae. The record is from RNAcentral.
AGUGUAUAAUUCAAGUGGACUUAGAAUCCACCUUACACAAAUUAAAUGUGAUACACUG